CCUGAUAAAGGGUGUCUACAAAAACCCACAGCUAACAUCACACUUAAUGGAGAAAGACUGAAUGUUUUCCUAAGUUCAGUAACAAGACAAGUAUCGUUUUUGGGGUUGCAUAUUUAGGUGGUGAAACUCUAACGCAAAGCAAAGAAUUGAUUAUUAGUCCAGCCAGGAUAGUGGUUCCCUCCAGGACGGAAGGGAGAGAGGCAGCUAUAAUUGAGAAGGGGCACUCAGGGGUCUUCUGGAUGCUGGUGAUAAUCUAUUUCUGACCUAAUGGUGGUUUCAGGGGUGUUCAUGUUAUGACAAUUUGUUAUGCUGUAUACUUGUUUUAGGCACUUUCUUGUAUUUGCAUUGUAUUUCUCAAUAAAAUGUUAUGGAAAAAAUGACUAUUUAAAAAAAAUUUUAAAGUUAGCUUUUUUAGAAAGAAAAAUUAGCACCUUACUCCUCAUAAUUUCCUAUAUUCUUAAUAUUAGCAGUAACAAUUAAUAAAUAGCUGAAAUAAAGAAUUGCCCUCAGGAGCUUUUAUUGUAAUCAAAAUCAUGAUUUUAACGACUCAGAAUGGAACGUGCUUAACUGCUGAGUUUGGUUUUCUCCUCUGCACAGUGAUGGGGGCUAGGACGCUUUCCUUCUGGUUCUGGGUGGGGCCCACCGCGCAGGGCAGAAUGCAGGAGCACCAGCCAGCAAUCUCCCGAGUCUGUUCUCAGCUUCAAUCCAAACCCCUCUGACUGAAAAACAAUGUCAAAAAUUGGCCUUAAUUACCUAAAAGCUUUUUAUAUAAGUUCCUUAGAAGAUUAUUUAUAGCAAAGCCAUUUAAUGUCAUUAAGAUAAUUCCAUGUGCAUUUUUUUAAAAACUUAUUUUAAAUUCUAGUGAUGGCUCAAAAUGUCUUUCCUAAUUAUUUAAGUUUCACUUGCUUAAAAUGCAGCUUAAAAUAAAAAUUUGGAUCAAGGGGCUAAUCAGAAUUUCAUAAAACACGCAUGGAUAGAAAAUCGAGGGUAGGUAAAAAUCCCAUAACUAAAUCCUAAUUUACAUCAGUACUAUCGAGAAAAUGUAAAGCUAUGUAGGCAGCCUUUAGCAAAAGGGCAUGUGUAAUAACCUCAAUUCUUCUUUUUCCAGAGUUGGAAAAAAAUUAUUUAAAGCUUGAAUUUUUGUUAGGAGUACUCAUUUACUCUAAAAUUUAAAAAGAUCUCACUUUAGGAGAGAUCUGGAGGUUUUCUAAAAUAUAUGAUAUAGCAGCCCAUUCUUGUGUUUUGUUACACAUGAUAAAGUUUCAAAUUUGUUAGUAAAAUGUAGAAUUCCCUUCUUUGUGAUUCCUUUUCAUCUUUUCUACGUCUAGAAAGUAGCUCCCCAUCCAAUUCUCAUUUUUCCAAUUAAGCUCAUUCAUUCACAUAACAAGUAUUGAACAUCUAAUACAUGAAACACUGUUCUAGGUAGACAUCAGAAAACAGACAAUAUUUCCCACCCCAUGGAGACAAAAAACAGAAUAAGUAUAUUACAUGAUAAUUAGAAGGUAAUAAGAGCCAUGAGAAAAAACCUAUAGCAAGGUUCUAGAGAUCAAUAGUGUCAGGACAAGGGCUGGGAGGUGGGGCUUGUUGAGAUUAUAAACAAGGUGAUCAGAGAAGAACUCAUGUGAAGAGAUGCCAUUUGAGGAAGCUACUUAAAGAAGGUGAGUGGGUAAGCCAUGUAGAAAUUUGGAGGGAGAACAUCCUAGGUGAAGGGAAGAGCAUGUGCAAAAGCUCUGAGGCCAGAGGAUGCCUAGAGUGUUCAAGGAACAGCAUAGAGUUCACUAUGGCUGGAGCAGAGGGAGCAAGUGGAAGAAUAAUCAGAGAUGCAGUCAGAGAGGUGAGGGGGAUCUCGUGUGACAUCAUAAGGACUCUGAUAUUUACUCUGAAUAAAAUGGGAGUCAUUGGAAAAUUCAUGAUCUAACUCUGGUUUUGACAGAUCGUUCUGACGGCUUUGUUGAAAAUACACUGUAGGGAGACAGGGUAGAUGCAGAGUGACCUGUUAAGAGGAUAUUACAAUAAUCCUGGUGAGAUGUGAUGGUGGCUUGGACCACAAUGUAACCGUGAAAGUGGUAACUGGAGGUCAGAUCUUGGAUAGAAGCUGAAGGUAAGAUUUUUCAGUGGAAGGAUGGAGUGGUUGUCAACUGAGAUGAAGAAGAAUAUGGGUGGAGGGGGGAUGGACAGGAUUAGUUCAACUUUUGACAUGUUAAGUUAGAUACCCAUUUGACAUUAAAGGACAACUUCGAGUAGUGUAAUGGGUUGAACAGUGGCACCCCAAAAUCGUGUCCACCCAGAACCUCAGAAUGUGACUUUAUGUGGAAAUGGGAUCUUUGCAGAUACAAUUUUUUAAAUUAAGAUGAGAUCAUACUGGAUUAGGAAGAGCUCUAUAUCCAAUGACUAGUGUCCUUAUAAGAAGGCCAAGUGAACACACAGAGACAGACAAAGGAGAACGUAAUGUGAGAAUGGAGGCCGAGAGUAGAAGAGUGAUGUGUGUACAGACCAAGUCAUGCCAAGGAUUGCCUGCAACCACCAGAAGCUAUGGGAGAGACAUGGAACAGCUUCUCCCUCAAUGCCUCCAGAAGGAACCAACCCUGCGGACAACUUGAUUUCAGACUUCUGGCCUUCUAAACUGUGAGAUCAUAAAUUUCUGUUUUAUGCCCCCUAGUUUGUGGUAAUUUGAUAUGGUAGCCCUAAGAGAAUAAUAUAAGUAGGCGAUUGAAAAUAUGAGAGUGAAGUUUAGGGGAAAGAUCUAGACCAAAGAUAUGAAUUUGCGUGUUGGAAUCAUGUAGACAGUGUUUAGAGCCAUGAGAUUAAAUUUGAAGAAAAUUGAUGCACAUAGGCAAGAGAACAGCAAGUACCAAGCCCUGGGGCAUCAAUGUUAAGAGUUUGAGAAGAAGAGAAGGAAGCAGGUAAGGAGAAUAACCGGUGAGGUGGGAGAAGAGGCAGGAGAGUAACAGCCUACAAGUCUCAUGAAGAGUCUUUUUUGAUGGAGAGUGGUCAGUUAAAUCGAGCGAGAUAAAAAAUCAAAAUUUCGCAUUGAACUGAUUAAUACAAUGGCCAUUUGGCAAAUUUCACAAAGAGUGUUUUGUUGGAGUCCUGGGAAAGAAAGUCCAAUUUGGAGUGGAUUCCGGGGAGUACGUGAGAAAAGGAAUUGUAUACAAUGACUGUAGAAAAGACAAGCGGCAAAACAGUGUAAUUUUGCUUUAAAAAAGAGCAGUCAAAAUGGGGUUUCUGGAGGAAUAAGUGAGGUCAAGAGAAGGUUGUUUGAAAACGGGAAAAAUAAUGGCAUACUUACAUGAAAAAGAGAGUGAUCCAGGAAAGAGGUGAAAAUGGAUCUCUGUAGGAGAUUCCGGGAAGGGGUGAUGCCCUUGUGGAGGGGAGAAGGGAUGAGAUCUGGGGCUACAAGGGACUACAGGUGGUGACUGAGCACUGGAAACGUGGUGAGUCCCAAUUGAGACGUGCUGUACGCACAAAAGACACACCAGAUUGCAUAGACUUAGAAUGAGCAAACAAAUGUAAAAUAGCUUAUGAAUAAUUUUUACAUUGAUUACAUGUUGAAAUAAUAUUUUGAGUAUAUUGAGUUAACAAAAAGAUACAAUUCAAAUUCUUUUCACCUAUUUCUUUUUACCUUUGGUACUAGAAAAUUUUUAAUUCCUCGUGUGGUUUGCAUUAUAUUUCUAUUGGACAGAGCUGCUCCAGUGCCCAAGGGAAGGAAUCGGCCUUACAUUGGAGCAAGAACAGUCUGUCUAAGAUACUAAGAGGGAAAGCAGUGCAUAGGGGUGAAAUGCUGGUGGGUGAGCGGAGGAGGUGGUGGGUGUUUGAAAAAGGCUUUAGUUUUCUCAGUGAAUGAAGAAGGAAGAUAAUCCCUAAAUUGGGUUCAAUUAACUGUGUAGAAUUCAUUUGGUGAAGAAUGUAAGGUAAGAAUCUAAAUAGAUUUUCCCCAAAUAACUGACCAUUUGCCCCAGAACCACUUAUUAAGUAAGACUUCCUCCCCACUGAUGUGUGAUGGCUUGUUUUUCAUAAAAUAAAUUCUGUGAUUUCUUUCUGAGCUGUCUGCUCCAUUGAUCUGACAAGGCUUCCACUUGACCCAUAAUGGUUUAAUUAUUGUAGCUAUUGAAGGGGUUCAGAACAUGCCAGCCAAAAACAUGCCAUUUUGGCACAUUGAUUAUUUUGAGCUGAAGGCACUUGAAAAACAGCAGAUGCAGGACUGGCUCUCUGAUCUCCCCCUUUCUACCUAAAAGCAGAUCAUAAAAUUUCCCAAGAGAAAGGUGCCUCACUGCACCAGGAAGAGAAGAGCAUCCUUAUCGUGGGAGAUGGGCAAUCAAUACCAGAACGCACGUGCACGAACAACCUGCUAAAAUAAGCUUCAUCUUCCAGUGAGCCUUUCAAGAAAACACAGUCUUCUGUAUUGUACGUCUUGCCUGGGCCUGCCUAUGGGCAAGUCUGCCUAAUUUCAGCCUUCUUGACCACCAGACUUAAAGCUUGUUCGGAACCCAGGUGGAGAAGAGGACAGUUAUUAAUUGAAGCUUCUUCAGAGACCUUAAUAUUAUUCAUCAAUUAUUUUGGAACAGGAUUUGUGAGUUAUUUUUAGAUGCUACAAUAACAGAGAAAGGCCUAAAGCAAGGGCAUCUGGGCUUAGCUAAUUAGACAACGAUCCCCCCCCUCAGCGAUUUCUGGAACUCUCCAGUUGGGCUCACAUAUGUCCAUGGUUCAGCCCUGCUUAUUGCUCACUUCCUGACUUCACAGUCUCUCACCCGCCAGGUUUACAGAGGUGCCACCGAGCUAGAACAUUAUUCCUAAUGCCAAGUUGAUGUGGCCAAAAUUAAUGUCUAUUUGUGAGGCUGGAAACCCACCACACGUUGUUGCUGUUGGGAGUAGAGUCCUGCUGUACUUGGGUGUCAGUAAAACUGACUUCUAGUAUAAGGCUCCUCCUGAUUCCUAGAACCACUGACACCCCAAGCUCCCAAGGCCACAGACCUUCCUCCCUCAUUAAAUUUUCUCCCUCAGGGGUCCCCAUAACUCUCCCUGUAUUCUGGCUGCUUUGGAACCACUGGUACGCUUUGAACACACACACACACACGUGUGUGUAAACCCCUUGGGGGGUACAUGGUUCAAGUGUUCUUCCUGGGUGGCUCCUCAGCUCCCAUGUAAAUCAAGGAUUCAAAUAUAUCUACAAGGGGAGGGUUAUCCCCAACCUUCACUCUCCAGAAGCAUAUGAAUCUCAGCCAUGACCUUGUGUUAAGGUCUAUUUUAAAAGUUGAGCCCAAGGUGAAGAGUCCUGCCUUCUAAACACCCCCUGGGCUGUUUCUCUAUUCAAAAAUCUCUUUGAUCAAUUCACAUGAAUGUAGUGGAGAAAAUGUGAACUUUUGGAAUGAAGUCAGAUAAGAAUAUCUCACAAAACAGCUUAUUUCUUCAUGUUCUGUUUGAAUCCCAUGAUGGGGCCAGGAUUCCAGGACAAGAGGUAAUUAAACUGAGAAGCAGAUUAGGACUCAGCAAUAAAAUGAGGUCAUUUGUGACAAUUCUACGGAGAAGCAUGCACCAUAGGCUGACUUGAAGCUCCUUACAUUUAUAGCAAAAUUCCAAUGAUAGAACGAUUUGGCGUGUGGACUCUCGCUUCCUUAUUGUAUCCAUAUGCCCGGCACCAGUGUAGCGGGCACCCAACAGGCAAACAAUUGAUGAUGAAUGAAUGAAUGAAUGAAUGAUGUUUUAAAGAAUCUCCAGACAGAUCACUACAUUCUGCUAGGGAAGACAGCCAAGCCUGGUGCAGCAACCCAAGCCCAUUUCUCUAAAAAAUGCUGAUUUAGCUAUUUUCCUCUUCUCUCUCAAAUGCUAAUUUUUAUUCCGUCCUCUUUAGUCUCUUUAUCCUCUUAUUUUGCUUCAUUUCUCCCUUUAGACUCUUAUCUAUGGGCAACAAACUCCCUGUUAUUUGAUAUGAUUGUGGAAGAGGGAAUUCUCUGGGUAACAGACUCCAGAAAAAGUGGAGUAACUCUUUCUGCCACUACCAUCCUACCUGUCCUUGGGCCAGUUGUUUAACCAAUCUGGGACUUAAAUCUCUCACCCCUAGUGAGGUUAGUAAGAACAGUUCUAUGGAUUGCUGGCAAAGUGUGAGUGGAAGAUAAAAGGACAGUUGAAAAUACUUUCUUGAAAGUUAAAAGUUAAAAGUCCUAUAUUUUAUGUUCUGAUCCCUGUUCCCAAUGCAACCAAAAAGAGCCAAGCGUGAUAACUGAGUGCAAUGAGAGCCAGUUAAAGCAAGAUUUCUUUCUCUGUGGUCCUGAGGCCCCCAGCAGCCCUAUAGGUAUGCAUUUGUCAUCAGUAUCUAUCCUCUGAAUGAGACACAGAAAAACACAACCACGAGAGAAAUAGAGAUGGGAAAAGGUGUGGUUCUGAUGAUGGUUCAGGAAGGAAACAUCUUUCUUCCAAUGUCAGUGGGGGCUACUUGGGAACUGAGAAGAGAGGUCUGUGUGUGGCCCUGUGAUCUUCUGGGCAGGGUUGUGUCAUGUGCUGCAUCCUUAUAGUGAAUAGAAGAGAAGAAACAACUGAGAGAAAAAUUAAAGAUAUAUGUGAAGUAGGAAAAAUUGAUGGUGUGAUGAUGAUAAUGAUGACCACCAUUACCAAGUGUCUACCAAAUGCCAGGUGUUUUACUCAGCUUUGUACUAUAUUUAUCUCUCAUCUUCCCACAGCACUAUGAAUUAGAUGUCAUUAUUCUUAUUCUGCAGAUCAGGACAUAAGCUCAGAGAGGGUCAAUAACUUGCUCAAAGUCAUAUAACUACUAAGUGGUAGAACCAUGACUUGAGCCCAAAUCAAUUUUAACUCUUAAGCCUGUAGUUUUUGUUUUUUAUUUUUCAUUGCCAUUGGCUAGACUGAUUUUUUCAAGUUCUUAGGGAAUAGGGGAGCCAUUAGCUUUGAAAGGAAGAGAGAGGAGGAAAGGAUGAAAGGAAGGAAGCAUACUAAGAAAUGUUCAAAUGGUUUCUAAGUAUCCAGAGGGAAGUAGCUAUAUCUGUCUUGUCACUGUUGUAUGUUCAGUGCCUAGUUGUGGACAAAAUAGGAGUUUAAUAAACAUUUCUGAAAGAAUGAAUGAGUAGAUGAAUGAAAAAAUAAAUAAAAUAGCUCAGCAACUUUCUGAAGGGCACAGAAGGGAGAAUGAGGAACUUUUGAUUGACUUUGUCCUGUCUCUUUUAUUCUUGAGAGAAGAUGUGAGAGGAUGAAAAAAGUAGAUAAGAUUCAGAACAGCCAUCUGGGGAAUGUGAUAGAGAAGUCAACAGAAGAUGAAGCCAAGAAUGGCUCAGCCACGAUGACAACUCUCCAGAAGUUUAGCGGUGUUGGAUCCUAGAAGCCUGAAGAGAGUUGAUUUUUCUUAAAAGAACACUUCGUAAGAUGUGAUGUGUACUUCUACACGGAAGAAUCUGGACAUUUCUUUUUGAGAACUUUGCAUCCACUGAUGACCAUGGCUAAGAUUCAUUAUUUCAUUGAGAGUUGCAAAAUGAUUGAUGAACAUAAAGCUUUCAGAGAUGGAGCUGCCACCGUGUACCAGUCCAGAAUUUAACAGGAAUGCUGCCUCCAGGAGUCAUGCAAUACAGGGCCCUGGAAACAAGAGCUCUGCGGCUGGCAGCAGAGAGGGCCUUGACCUUGAUCCUAUGGCAGGAUGUAAGAUUCCACUUGUUUUCAAAUGCUGGGCCCUGCUUUGCUUGUGCUUAUGGAAAAACAUAGUUACAGCUUUAAUGUUCUGGCCUUUGGUAUAACACAGUAUACCGUACUAUAGAAUCUUGUGAGAAAUGCAUGCUGCUUGGAUAAUGUUCAUUUAAUCUUGAUUUUACUCUUUUUUUUUCUUUUUUCCAGAAAACUUGAGACAAGAGUCAAGUAUGAAAAGCUUUGAGUGCUGUCACUUCUUGAGGCCAAAUGAACCCUGCAUUCUAAGUCUUAACAAUAGAGCAAUCAUUUGUCUCAUAAACAUUGAAUAAUUUUGGCUUUUUUUACCAGACAAUAGCUUGAUUGCAUUGAUAGUUUCUUGACCUAAGGAGCAAGGUGACAAAAGCAAAAAUGGGCAAAGAAGAAAGCUCUCGGCUGAAAGAUAAAGGCUAAAAUAUGUACGAAAUUCACUGCUAGCCCCCGGUGAAGGUGCUACCAGGUUCUUACCCACAAGUGGGGGUGGGGAGGUUGAGGAGGUCUCAGCCACCCAGGAUGACGUAGAGAAAGUUGUGAGAGAGUGCUGUAGACAUUUGCUGAAGAAAAGUGAUCAAAUACAGCCAACUUUAAUACAAAUGCAUUCUUAAGUACACAAUGUGAAUUAAUUAUGUUCUUGAACAUUUAACUAAAGUAGAUAUACUUGAACACCUUCUGUGCAGGCAGGUGCUGGUAGGCACUGGGAAUUCAAUACUGAACAAGACUUCUGGUGUGUGCUUUCUAGUUAGAGAAGCUAACGAACAAGAAACUAUUGAUGCCACUGCUGAGUGGGGUGAGCACUACAAGGAAAUAGAGCCCUGUGAUGGACCGUAACAGUACUCCUAGAUCAAAGGGUCAUGGAAGGCCUCUUAGGAGGUGACUUGGAAGGUGAAGAUGAAAGGAUGAAGUUAGAUAUCCAAAGAACUAGGGGUAGGGGAUGUGGAACAUUCCAGCAAGGAGAAUGGCAAGUGCAAAGACUCAAGCUAUAAGAGUUUGACAUGUCAUAUGAAAAGAAAGAAGUCUUGCAUGGUUGAAAGCAUCAAGAGCAAUGAAGAGAGUUCCAGAAGAUAACAUUGCAGGGGCAGGCAGAAGCCUGAUCAUGUAGGACAGCAGUAAGGAUUUUAUUCUGGGCUAAUGGAUUUUGGACUUUUUGAGCUCCAGAACUGUAAGAGAAUAAAUAUGUGUUGUUUUAAGUCA
Non-coding RNA from Equus caballus (horse), 8850 nucleotides. The record is from RefSeq and is a predicted model, not a curated record. NCBI's taxonomy places the organism in Eukaryota, Metazoa, Chordata, Mammalia, Perissodactyla, Equidae.